Molecule: ribosomal RNA, 776 nt
Filed under: uncultured Neocallimastigales
Lineage: Eukaryota; Fungi; Neocallimastigomycota; Neocallimastigomycetes; Neocallimastigales
Description: partial large subunit ribosomal RNA
Rfam family: Eukaryotic large subunit ribosomal RNA
Source: RNAcentral
CAUCACUACGCUAGAUGCAUAUCAAUAAGCGGAGGAAAAGAAACUAACAAGGAUUCCCCUAGUAACGGCGAGUGAAGCGGGAAGAGCUCAAAUUUGAAAUCUUAAAGGGUUUCCCUUUACGAAUUGUAGUUUAAAGAAGUGUUUUCUGUUGGAGUUUCGGUAAAAGUUCUUUGGAAUAGGACAUCAUAGAGGGUGAGAAUCCCGUAUUUGACCGUUACUUUCCAGCUGUGUGAUACACUUUCAAAGAGUCGGAUUGUUUGGGAAUGCAGUCCAAAAUGGGUGGUAAAUUUCAUCUAAAGCUAAAUAUUGGCGAGAGACCGAUAGCGAACAAGUACCGUGAGGGAAAGAUGAAAAGAACUUUGAAAAGAGAGUUAAACAGUACGUGAAAUUGUCAAAAGGGAAGCGUUUGACACCAGUGUUGUUUAGUUGAAAAUCAAUUCAAUAGUUUUUGAUUCUAAGCUAGUAUUGACUUCAUCAGCUUGCUGCUUUCUUCUCAGAAAUUAUUGAAUGCACUUUUCAGUUAACAAGUCAACAUCAAUUUCUUUUGUUGUAAAAGGGUAAGAGGAAGGUGGCUUGCGCUUCGGCUCAAGUGUUUAUAGCCUUUUAUCUCUGCAAUCGGAGAGAUUGAGGUCUGCAGCGUAGAUCCUUCGGGGUUAGAUACAUUGGUGCUAUGCUAUAGCCUUGUAUAGACAACUUGUUGACUAUGCUCAGUCAUGUAGCUUACUCGCUGAUGCUAUUUUACCUACGCUUAGGAUGUUGACACACGCGCGUGCUCG